Molecule: transfer RNA, 68 nt
Filed under: Scolytinae sp. BMNH 1039994
Lineage: Eukaryota; Metazoa; Arthropoda; Insecta; Coleoptera; Curculionidae
Description: tRNA-Ile
Source: RNAcentral
GAUAAGAUGCCUGACCAAAAGGGCUACCUUGAUAGGGUAAAUCAUGUAAAAAAUCGUUACUCUUGUCA